Long non-coding RNA from Canis lupus familiaris (dog), 344 nucleotides. RefSeq lists it as uncharacterized. The transcript is spliced from 2 exons. The record is from RefSeq and is a predicted model, not a curated record. NCBI's taxonomy places the organism in Eukaryota, Metazoa, Chordata, Mammalia, Carnivora, Canidae.
GCCAUGUUGAAUCGGAGUAGUGAGAACAAGCACCCUAACUUUAUUCCUGGCCUUAGAGGAAAAGCUUUCAACAUUUCACCACUGAGUAUGUUGUUAGCUAUGGGCUUGUCAUCUAUGGUCUUUAUUAUUCUGAGAUAGAGCCGCAUCCGUCUUGAAGUGAUGAGCCUUCUGGGAGUACUUUGCAAGUGAUUUUUUUCUUGGGCCUAGAAUGAAAACAUGUUGAACAAUUAAAAACCAAAAACUGUCUCCAGAAGCUGGGAAGUGGCACUGAGUAGCCAUGUCAUGACUUUUGUUCCUCCAUCCUGCUGAUGCCAUGGAAAUCAGAUAAUAAAUAGCAAAGGUUA